GAUGAACGCUGGCGGCGUGCCUAAUACAUGCAAGUCGAGCGAACGGACGAGAAGCUUGCUUCUCUGAUGUUAGCGGCGGACGGGUGAGUAACACGUGGAUAACCUACCUAUAAGACUGGGAUAACUUCGGGAAACCGGAGCUAAUACCGGAUGAUAUUUUGAACCGCAUGGUUCAAAAGUGAAAGACGGUCUUGCUGUCAUUUAUAGAUGGGUCCGCGCUGCAUUAGCUAGUUGGUAAGGUAACGGCUUACCAAGGCAACGAUGCAUAGCCGACCUGAGAGGGUGAUCGGCCACACUGGAACUGAGACACGGUCCAGACUCCUACGGGAGGCAGCAGUAGGGAAUCUUCCGCAAUGGGCGAAAGCCUGACGGAGCAACGCCGCGUGAGUGAUGAAGGUCUUCGGAUCGUAAAACUCUGUUAUUAGGGAAGAACAUAUGUGUAAGUAACUGUGCACAUCUUGACGGUACCUAAUCAGAAAGCCACGGCUAACUACGUG
This 497-nucleotide ribosomal RNA is filed under the name uncultured bacterium. RNAcentral describes it as "partial 16S ribosomal RNA". It matches the Rfam family "Bacterial small subunit ribosomal RNA", at positions 28 to 507 of the family's 1533-position model. The record is from RNAcentral.